Molecule: ribosomal RNA, 253 nt
Filed under: uncultured bacterium
Lineage: Bacteria
Description: partial 16S ribosomal RNA
Rfam family: Bacterial small subunit ribosomal RNA
Source: RNAcentral
UACGUAGGGGGCAAGCGUUGUCCGGAUUUACUGGGCGUAAAGAGCGCGCAGGCGGUCGCUCAAGUCGCGUGUGAAAGCCCCCGGCUCAACUGGGGAGGGUCAUUCGAUACUGUUCGACUCGAAGGCAGGAGAGGGAAGUGGAAUUCCUGGUGUAGCGGUGAAAUGCGCAGAUAUCAGGAAGAACACCAAUGGCGAAAGCAGCUCUCUGGGACGGUACUGACGCUGAGACGCGAAAGCGUGGGGAGCGAACAGG